GCUCCACAGGGGCGGACUCCACAGCCGGGCAAACGUCCGGGCCACGGAAACACCUUACACAACGGCCGCCCGGCGCCCGGAGGGUCUUGGUUCUCCCUCUGCCGGAGGGAAGCGGUGUCCCUCCUUCCAUCUGAGGUGGAUUCUUCUGGCUCCUGCUGUCUCAAUUUAGAUGUCACUUCCUCUGUCCAAGUCUGGGACCGGAGCCUUCUCACAGCACUCCAUACUGGAUCAUCACUGCCCAUUGGUUUUGUUCCCUCUUUGAGCUCCAAGAGGAGAAAGAACACAUUGAUUUCACAGUUGUAUCCCCAACAGAGCAGAUACGUAGACACCUGUGCAAUAAA
Long non-coding RNA from Lemur catta (Ring-tailed lemur), 341 nucleotides. RefSeq lists it as uncharacterized. Lineage: Eukaryota; Metazoa; Chordata; Mammalia; Primates; Lemuridae. The transcript is spliced from 3 exons. The record is from RefSeq and is a predicted model, not a curated record.